Molecule: long non-coding RNA, 1553 nt
Filed under: Salmo salar (Atlantic salmon)
Lineage: Eukaryota; Metazoa; Chordata; Actinopteri; Salmoniformes; Salmonidae
Description: lncRNA (ENSSSAG00000083645.1)
Source: RNAcentral
GUGAGUAUAACAGAACUCAUAUGGCAGGCCAAAACCUGAGAAGAUUCCAUACAGGAAGUGCCCUGUCUGACCAUUUCUUGCCCUUCUAUAGCCUCUUUAUCGAAAAUAGAGGAUCUCUGCUGUAACAUGACAUUUUCUAAGGCUCCCAUAGGCUCUCAGAAGGUGCCAGAACGGGGAAUGAUGACUCUGCAGUCCCUGGGCGAAAAACAGUAGGGCUUUUGGAAAGUGGUCGUUCUGAGAACAAUGACACAGGCGUGCGCGUGCCAGUGAAGACUCCAUUUUCUAUUUUCAGUGUUUGAACGAAAACAAGGUCUCCCGGUCGGAAUAUUAUCGCUAUUUUACGAGAAAAAUCGCAUAAAAAUUGAUUUUAAACAGCGUUUGACAUGCUUCGAAGUACGGUAAUGGAAUAUUUUGAUUUUUUUUGUCACGAUACGUGCCGGCGCGUCACCCUUCGGAUAGUGUCUUGAACGCAAGAACAAAACGCAGCUAUUUGGAUAUAACUAUGGAUUAUUUGGAACCAAAACAACAUUGGGUGUUGAAGUAGAAGUCCUGGGAGUGCAUUCUGACAAAGAACAGCAAAGGACAGGGAUGCUCCAUAGUACUUCACUGGUCUGCGGAGUCCAGGGGUUUCGUUGUAGCACAAAGCUAUGGUAGAGGCCUCCAGAGUGUAGUAGUUUGUGUAAUUACUUUCGCCUUUUAUUCUGGGGGGCAAGUCCAAUGCAUUCAGGAAAUGUAGAAGAAAGCUUUUUAUUCCCUCUUCCUCUUCACAUCGACAAAUCCUGACAGCCUGAAAAACAAAGAAGUGAAACAUGCAAUAUUCAACAAAUUAUAAGCUACAUGGACAAUACAUGUUUUAUAUGUGUUUUAUUGUCAUUGUUUAGUGUUAAUUUUGUUGAUGUGGAAAUUGGUCGAGGACAAAAGCUUCAGGUUAAAUACAUUCCAUUUACACACUUACCAAAGUCAGAAGAUUGGAAAAUGGAGUCUGGUGGGGUGGAUACUUGUAAUUGUGGAAUGCCUGUGGAAAUCUUCUUUCUAAAUCGUACAUCACAAGCCUACCCUCACGAGACUCAAAGAAGGCAUUUGGAAGAAGACUGGCCUGAUGAAUGUGACCUAAGAAAAAGAUGCUAUGAAGCAACUUUUAACAAACAUGAAUAAUGAAUAACAUAAUUAACAAACAAUGUAUAACAUAACAAGAUCAAUUAAUAAUUGUUUGUUCUAGAAACAAUUCAUUUGUAACAUGUAUAGUAAACCAAAAAUAUGCUAAAUGUGUGGGAAUGUAUUUUAAGCAUAUGAUUAGUGUAUUUAAUUAGGCGAUGUGUACCAUAUUCACGUAAUGUUGUAUUCCGUCAACUCCCAUCCUCAGGCGACUCCUCCAAAGCCUUACAACCUGUCUAAUAAAUGCUGUUCCUGAUGACUUUAAGCUUCCAUCAUUUCUUUUCCUCCAUUCCAGACAAGUAGCUGUUGGUCUCCUAAAAAGUGGUAUUGUAAAGUUUAAUAAAGAUCACGCACAGUAAGUAAUGAUUUUUAAAAAUGCUGUUCAAACCCAAUUCAAG